This 253-nucleotide ribosomal RNA is filed under the name uncultured bacterium. RNAcentral's name for it is "partial 16S ribosomal RNA". It matches the Rfam family "Bacterial small subunit ribosomal RNA", at positions 524 to 776 of the family's 1533-position model. The record is from RNAcentral.
UACGUAGGGUGCAAGCGUUAAUCGGAAUUACUGGGCGUAAAGCGUGCGCAGGCGGUUGUGCAAGACAGAUGUGAAAUCCCCGGGCUUAACCUGGGAACUGCAUUUGAAACUGGCGGGCUUGAGUGUGGCAGAGGGGGGUGGAAUUCCGCGUGUAGCAGUGAAAUGCGUAGAGAUGCGGAGGAACACCGAUGGCGAAGGCAGCCCCCUGGGCCAACACUGACGCUCAGGCACGAAAGCGUGGGGAGCAAACAGG